AUUGAACGCUGGCGGCAGGCUUAACACAUGCAAGUCGAGCGAGCGGCGGACGGGUGAGUAAUGUCUGGGAAACUGCCUGAUGGAGGGGGAUAACUACUGGAAACGGUAGCUAAUACCGCAUACCAUCAGAUGUGCCCAGCUGGGAUUAGCUAGUAGGUGGGGUAAUGGCUCACCUAGGCGACGAUCCCUAGCGGGUCUGAGGGGAUGAACAGCCACACUGGAACGGAGGCACGGCCCAGACUCUUACGGGAGGAAGCAGUGGGGAAUAUUGCACAAGGGGCGCAAUCUGGAUGCAGCAAGGCGGCGUGUGGGAAGAAGGCCUUCGGGUUGUAAAGCACUUUCAGCGAGGAGGCGUUACUCGCAGAAGAAGCACCGGCUAACUCCGUGCCAGCAGCCGCGGUAAUUC
Molecule: ribosomal RNA, 406 nt
Filed under: uncultured bacterium
Lineage: Bacteria
Description: partial 16S ribosomal RNA
Rfam family: Bacterial small subunit ribosomal RNA
Source: RNAcentral